UGACCGAGAAAUGUACUCGCGCGGUAUUGCGCCGUAAGGUAUUACCGUGAGGAAAGUCCGGGCUUCACAGAGCAUGGGUAACGGAUAACGUCCGCCGAAGGCGACUUCAGGGAAAGUGCAACAGAAAUAAACCGCCGCUUAUGCGGUAAGGAUGGAAAGGCGAGGUAAGAGCUCACCGGCUCUCGCGGUAACGCUGAGCAAAUGUAAACCCUACCCGAAGCAACUCCCCUUAGAGACUGAUCUUUCACUGCCUGCUCGGCAGAUGUCUCGGGGCGGCUAGAGCCGUGCGGUAACGUACGGAAUAGAUAGAUGAGUACAGGUCCUUGUUUUAGCAUCUCAAGGACAACAGAACCCGGCUUAUAAUUUCGGUCUGCUC
RNAcentral lists this RNase P RNA (376 nucleotides) under Clostridia bacterium. RNAcentral's name for it is "RNase P RNA component class A". It matches the Rfam family "Bacterial RNase P class A". Rfam says of the family: Ribonuclease P (RNase P) is a ubiquitous endoribonuclease, found in archaea, bacteria and eukarya as well as chloroplasts and mitochondria. Its best characterised activity is the generation of mature 5'-ends of tRNAs by cleaving the 5'-leader elements of precursor-tRNAs. The record is from RNAcentral. Lineage: Bacteria; Bacillati; Bacillota; Clostridia.